GAUGGACGCUGGCGGCGUGCCUAAUACAUGCAAGUCGAGCGAACAGACGAGGAGCUUGCUCCUCUGACGUUAGCGGCGGACGGGUGAGUAACACGUGGAUAACCUACCUAUAAGACUGGGAUAACUUCGGGAAACCGGAGCUGAUACCGGAUAAUAUAUUGAACCGCAUGGUUCAAUAGUGAAAGACGGUUUUGCUGUCUCUUAUAGAUGGAUCCGCGCCGCAUUAGCUAGUUGGUAAGGUAACGGCUUACCAAGGCAACGAUGCGUAGCCGACCUGAGAGGGUGAUCGGCCACACUGGAACUGAGACACGGUCCAGACUCCUACGGGAGGCAGCAGUAGGGAAUCUUCCGCAAUGGGCGAAAGCCUGACGGAGCAACGCCGCGUGAGUGAUGAAGGUCUUCGGAUCGUAAAACUCUGUUAUUAGGGAAGAACAAAUGUGUAAGUAACUAUGCACGUCUUGACGGUACCUAAUCAGAAAGCCACGGCUAACUACGUG
RNAcentral lists this ribosomal RNA (497 nucleotides) under uncultured bacterium. RNAcentral's name for it is "partial 16S ribosomal RNA". It matches the Rfam family "Bacterial small subunit ribosomal RNA", at positions 28 to 507 of the family's 1533-position model. The record is from RNAcentral.